UUGUAUCACAAAGUAAGACGAGAUCACACAAGUGUUGACAAAUAAGAUCACAAAGGUUGGCCUCCACAUAACACAAAACUGAGGUGAGCAUCAUGGGAUCUAGCAGCAACAACACCUAACCUACUAGAUGGACACUGCGGUCCAGACCCAACUCCACAAGCUUAGGUGAGCAUCAUGGGAUCUAGCAGCAACAACAACUACAUACUAAUUUGCGACCGCGACGGUGAUGCAACCACCACAACCAAAAUUAAAAAGGUAAGGGAGGUGGGUGGUACAGGUUGUUGUCUCCACGCCGCCUGUGUUUGCCAUCUCUAAAUGCCAAAAGGUCCAGGUUGUGGUCAUCAGCCUUCUUCAUGCCAUCAGCAUGAUCACCAUUGCCUUCCGCACCCCGUCAUCAUCAGGCUGAUUUGCUGCUGCCGCUCGUCCUCCUACUCCAUCUGCAUGGACAAGAGCAAGUUAGUUGAAUGGCAUGCACGAUAAAACUGCAAGGCAUAUAUACUCAUCUACAUUAAUUGUACUACAGUACAUAUUUUGCAUGGAUGGGUUUGACUUCAACAGAGACUGAAGGAAGAGCAUUUUCCCCUCCCAAUCCAAAACCUGCUGUACAAGUACAGCUCUAAGAGAAGGAACUGUGGUACAACAAGAGGCGCUCCAAAUCAAACUAAAUCUCAGUUUCUUUAUUUACCUAAGAAACAGCACAACCAUAACUUCUGCCAAGCAAGCAGUUAUCAUACUAUCAGCUAAAAGAAAAACAAAGGAAGAUCACGUGUCACUUUCAUGGAAAAC
This 786-nucleotide long non-coding RNA is filed under the name Triticum aestivum (bread wheat). RNAcentral describes it as "long non-coding RNA (TAES_LNC002475)". Lineage: Eukaryota; Viridiplantae; Streptophyta; Magnoliopsida; Poales; Poaceae. The record is from RNAcentral.